Long non-coding RNA from Choloepus didactylus (southern two-toed sloth), 317 nucleotides. RefSeq lists it as uncharacterized. The record is from RefSeq and is a predicted model, not a curated record. Lineage: Eukaryota; Metazoa; Chordata; Mammalia; Pilosa; Megalonychidae. The transcript is spliced from 3 exons.
CAUCUGCCCUGGGGAGAGAGGAUGAGGAGACACUGAUUUGCAUUGCUCUCGCUGUGUUAUGGGGACUUUAUUUAUUCCUACCCCAUGGAUCUCUUAAAGUCAUCCCUCUCAUGUUGAUUGGGCAAGAUAUGAUUUCUCCACCUCUUAGGCAAGAAGCUACAUUGCUGAAGAUUUCUUAUAAACCACAGCCACAUGAAUGGGGCAAUUGACCAUGAUCUCACUGAACUACAGAAAGUGACCUCCUGUAAGCUCACUCAGAUAUGUGCCCUCAGCACAAAAUGUCUACUAACAACUGUCUACAUCUACAAGGAAGUCCC